RNAcentral lists this ribosomal RNA (815 nucleotides) under marine metagenome. Its description in RNAcentral is "bacterial SSU rRNA". It matches the Rfam family "Bacterial small subunit ribosomal RNA", at positions 296 to 1128 of the family's 1533-position model. The record is from RNAcentral.
GAGGAUGAUCAGCCACAUUGGGACUGAGACACGGCCCAAACUCUACGGGAGGCAGCAGUGGGGAAUCUUGCACAAUGGAGGAAACUCUGAUGCAGCGAUGCCGCGUGAGUGAAGAAGGCCCUUGGGUUGUAAAGCUCUUUCGUCGGGGAAGAAAAUGACUGUACCCGAAUAAGAAGGUCCGGCUAACUUCGUGCCAGCAGCCGCGGUAAUACGAAGGGACCUAGCGUAGUUCGGAAUUACUGGGCUUAAAGAGUUCGUAGGUGGUUGAAAAAGUUAGUGGUGAAAUCCCAGAGCUUAACUCUGGAACUGCCAUUAAAACUUUUCAGCUAGAGUAUGAUAGAGGAAAGCAGAAUUUCUAGUGUAGAGGUGAAAUUCGUAGAUAUUAGAAAGAAUACCAAUUGCGAAGGCAGCUUUCUGGAUCAUUACUGACACUGAGGAACGAAAGCAUGGGUAGCGAAGAGGAUUAGAUACCCUCGUAGUCCAUGCCGUAAACGAUGUGUGUUAGACGUUGGAAAUUUAUUUUCAGUGUCGCAGGGAAACCGAUAAACACACCGCCUGGGGAGUACGACCGCAAGGUUAAAACUCAAAUGAAUUGACGGGGACCCGCACAAGUAGUGGAGCAUGUGGUUUAAUUCGAAGAUACGCGCAGAACCUUACCAACACUUGACAUGUUCGUCGCGACUCUAAGAGAUUAGAGUUUUCGGUUCGGCCGGACGAAACACAGGUGCUGCAUGGCUGUCGUCAGCUCGUGUCGUGAGAUGUUGGGUUAAGUCCCGCAACGAGCGCAACCCUCACUUUUAGUUGCCAUCAUUAAG